GGUGGGCACAGAGUGACGGCGAAGCCCGACCUCAACCCUUUGUGACCAACCCUGUUGCUUCGGGGGCGACGCCGCCGCUUCCGCUACGGCGCCCCCGGAGGUCAGCACACUCUGCAUCUUUGCGUCCUAGUCUUAAAGUAAAUUUAUACAAAACUUUCUACAACGGAUCUCCUUCGUUCUGGCUUGGAUGAGGAACCCAUCA
This 202-nucleotide ribosomal RNA is filed under the name uncultured Ascomycota. RNAcentral describes it as "partial 18S ribosomal RNA". Lineage: Eukaryota; Fungi; Ascomycota. The record is from RNAcentral.